ACCGUCUGGACCCUGGGCAUCCUGCUGCAUGAGAUGGUCUGCGGGAAGCACCCUUUCAGGAGGGGCUGGAACAUCAGCUGGGCCCAGCUCCCGCUGCCACAACGGCUCUCCCAAGAUUGCCAAGUUCUGAUCAGGCGGUGUUUAUCCCUGCACUACUUGGACAGGCCCUCAUUAGAAGACCUGUUCUGUGAUCCCUGGAUGCAGGAUAUUCAUCAGCCAUAGAAGAAGGGAGAGAGCCACGGGCACAGUGAUGCAGGGACCUGUGACAGCCGGGCCCUGGGCAGAACCCUGACAGCCUGGUGUCACCCCAGGGAAGAAGGAGCCCCUGGAGAAGCUGCACCAGGUGGGGCUGCUGCUGCUGCUGCUGCUGGGGACAUGGAGGACAACAGCAAGGAUGACAACCUCUUCCUCCACCUGGCCAGCGGCAGCUGGCGAUGAUGGACUUUGAUUCUGGCACCUUCUUGAAAGCCAGGCUCCACAGAGAAUUUUCAGGAAGAAUUCUAGGUGGGGUCCAGUCUGGAUCAGGAAGUGCUUGGGACCAGCCGUGGUGUGGAUGGGCCGUGCCCUUGGAGAAGGCUGAGGACAUCGUUUGGGACCAGCUUUUCUUCUGGCAGCAGAUGGUGUGAGGUGGGUCCUCAUCUCCUUGGCAUGGGUGGGACAAGAGCUUUUGGGAGAUGGCAGCGGGCACAGGAGCAUCCCGCUCUGGGCAGCUGCUGAGGGGCUGGAUCUGCCGUGGCUGGCUGCAGGC
RNAcentral lists this long non-coding RNA (748 nucleotides) under Cyanistes caeruleus (blue tit). RNAcentral describes it as "lncRNA (ENSCCEG00000022859.1)". Lineage: Eukaryota; Metazoa; Chordata; Aves; Passeriformes; Paridae. The record is from RNAcentral.